CGGCUUCACCGGGGGUGCCGGGCCCGCAGCAAUGCGGGCGGCGGCUGAGAAAUACCCCUCUCACCUGAUCUGGGUUGUGCCAGCGUAGGGAGCGUGACAAGCCGGUCCG
Hydrogenophaga sp. H7 is the source of this 109-nucleotide regulatory RNA element. It matches the Rfam family "TPP riboswitch aptamer (THI element)". From Rfam's summary of the family: Vitamin B(1) in its active form thiamin pyrophosphate (TPP) is an essential coenzyme that is synthesised by coupling of pyrimidine and thiazole moieties in bacteria. Lineage: Bacteria; Pseudomonadati; Pseudomonadota; Betaproteobacteria; Burkholderiales; Comamonadaceae. The record is from Rfam.